CCGGCUUGCGCCUGCCACGCACACCCAGCGCAGGGGAAUGCGGACUGGGGCUGAGGGGAUGGAAGGCGGCUCGUGCGCCUCACAGAUUAUUGCAAACUGGAUGCUCUUUGUGGAUAAAAGAUGUAUCAUGGAAUGAAUGCGAGCAGCGGGGAUCCAUUCCUAGAGAAGCAGCAGCAGCAGUCCCCAUGUCUCCGGAGACUCUUCGUGGUGGUCUUGUGGCUUCAGCUGGCGCUAUGCUUUGGCCCUGCACAGAUCACUGGCGUUUCAGUUGGACAGGCCAACACUCAC
Non-coding RNA from Pelodiscus sinensis (Chinese soft-shelled turtle), 288 nucleotides. The record is from RefSeq and is a predicted model, not a curated record. Lineage: Eukaryota; Metazoa; Chordata; Testudines; Trionychidae.